UAUUGGGCAAUGGGCGCAAGCCUGACCCAGCAACGCCGCGUGACGGAAGAAGGCUUUCGGGUUGUAAACUUCUUUUCUGAGGGACGAACAAAUGACGGUACCUCAGGAAUAAGCCACGGCUAACUACGUGCCAGACGCCGCGGUAAUACGUAGGUGGCAAGCGUUAUCCGGAUUUAUUGGGUGUAAAGGGCGUGUAGGCGGGAAAGCAAGUCAGAAGUGAAAACUAUGGGCUCAACCCAUAGCCUGCAUUUGAAACUGUUUUUCUUGAGUGCUGGAGAGGCAAUCGGAAUUCCGUGUGUAGCGGUGAAAUGCGUAGAUAUACGGGGGAACACCAGUGGCGAAGGCGGAUUGCUGGACAGUAACUGACGCUGAGGCGCGAAAGCGUGGGGAGCAAACAGG
Molecule: ribosomal RNA, 399 nt
Filed under: uncultured bacterium
Lineage: Bacteria
Description: bacterial SSU rRNA
Rfam family: Bacterial small subunit ribosomal RNA
Source: RNAcentral